RNAcentral lists this long non-coding RNA (499 nucleotides) under Ananas comosus (pineapple). RNAcentral describes it as "long non-coding RNA (ACOM_LNC008405)". Lineage: Eukaryota; Viridiplantae; Streptophyta; Magnoliopsida; Poales; Bromeliaceae. The record is from RNAcentral.
UAGUUUUUCACGCAAUUUGUAAUACAAAUGCACUUUCCUCGGAAGGACGAAAAUUUUGAGCUGCAAUUAAAAUUUAUCUUAAUUUACCAAUAAUAUAAAAGCUCCAGAUUGUUCUGACUUUUUUCGCACUUGUUAGAACAAAAACAAAAAAGAUCUAAUUCAUCGAGUGUAAAAAUACCAAAAAAUAUAGCAGUGUUUGUUACUAGCCUACAUCCAUGAGCGAAGAUGUAACGAAGAUUUUUAUUAUAGUCAAAGUGGUGUACAAAACAUGCCUCUUUUAUAAAAUCCUAGUUCCAAAAAAUAUUCUCAUAAUUUUUUUAUCUACCGCACCAAAUCAAUAGAAUAAAAGAUAUAUUUAUAAUAAUGACUAAAUCCUAAUAUGAUUAGAAAUACAAAUCCAUUUAGACUAGAAAUAUCUUAAUUAAAUUAGAUAUAAUCUAAACUUAAUAUAAUGAGAUAACCAAAAUAUAAUAGAAUUAAAAAAUCUUAUAGAAUUCUA